AGAGUUUGAUCCUGGCUCAGAACGAACGCUGGCGGCAGGCCUAACACAUGCAAGUCGAGCGCGCCCUUCGGGGGUGAGCGGCGGACGGGUUUAGUAACGCGUGGGAACGUACCCUUUGGUAGGGAAUAGCCACUGGAAACGGUGAGUAAUACCCUAUGAGCCCUUCGGGGGAAAGAUUUAUCGCCAAAGGAUCGGCCCGCGUUAGAUUAGGUAGUUGGUGGGGUAAUGGCCUACCAAGCCUACGAUCUAUAGCUGGUUUUAGAGGAUGAUCAGCAACACUGGGACUGAGACACGGCCCAGACUCCUACGGGAGGCAGCAGGUGGGGAAUCUUGGACAAUGGGGGCAACCCUGAUCCAGCCAUGCCGCGUGAGUGAAGAAGGCCUUAGGGUCGUAAAGCUCUUUCGCCUGUGAAGAUAAUGACGGUAGCAGGUAAAGAAACCCCGGCUAACUCCGUGCCAGCCGCCGC
This 467-nucleotide ribosomal RNA is filed under the name uncultured bacterium. Its description in RNAcentral is "bacterial SSU rRNA". It matches the Rfam family "Bacterial small subunit ribosomal RNA", at positions 8 to 518 of the family's 1533-position model. The record is from RNAcentral.